This 2917-nucleotide long non-coding RNA is filed under the name Brassica rapa (field mustard). RNAcentral describes it as "long non-coding RNA (BRAP_LNC006910)". Lineage: Eukaryota; Viridiplantae; Streptophyta; Magnoliopsida; Brassicales; Brassicaceae. The record is from RNAcentral.
UUUUUACUGUGAAAGUUUACAAUGUCGGCAUCGAAAUUUGCUAUAUUUUGUAUUGUUCUCAUUUGUCUUGCUAGUCUUCAUGAAUGUAUGUCAUAUAUAGCAUAUGUUCCAUCCAAUCCUCUAGCAUCAUUACCAUUAAAUUAAUAUUAAUAUACUCCAUCAUCUUUUAAUUUUGUUUUAUUCUUUAAACUUUCUGCAGGUGUCAACCCGGAAAGAAAGCCCAAAGGAACAUGCUCUAAAACACCAAAUAAUGUUUGGUGUUGCAGUUCCACUACACACUGCCGAAGCACCAAAGCAGAUUGUGAGAAGAUGUGUAUCUGGUAGUAUAUGGGGCCGUUGAGUUUUACCAAAGAGAAUUUCAAUAAUUAUAUAUUUCAAUUAUUUUCAUAAUUCUAUUAUUCAAAAUUUAAAGAAUAAAUAGAAAUUCCUAUUCCACAGGAGCAGCUAGUAUUAUGUACUAAAUGUUUUGGAAUUUCUUUGAAAGAUCAAUAUAUAUAGUUGUAACUUUCUUCAAUUUUAUUUAAGAAGUUUAUAAAUUUUAUAGAAAAUGAGAAUAAAACCACUGUACCUGUUUAACUGAAAUUUAAAUGUUGUAAGUACUUUGUAAAUUAAAUUAAAUAAAAAUACAUCACUUCAAAAUAUAUUAUAAAUUAUAUAAAUUAAUUAAUUAACACAUAAAUUAACAAUUUUCACCAUUCUCGGAUUUGACCGAUUCAAAAUAUAACACAAUUGUUUAAGAUAAUAAGAUAACGUUCUGUAAUCCAUAAGGGUGUGGGUCUUCUCAAACACUAAAAUUUUAUAAUAAAAGUUAAUAUAUAAAUUUUUUAUAAAUAUAACCAAAACAUUGUUUUGUUUCCACCAUGAACUUAAUCGCUAAUUAUUCUUAACCAUUCACAACAUUUUGAUAUGGUUUUAUCACUUUACUUGUAAAACACAUAUGCACUAUAUAAUCCAUAACUUAUAUACAUCAAAUUAUUUAACAAAAAAAAGUUGAAACCCAAAGUUAAGAUUAAUUAAUACAUAAGCCAAGAAAAAUUAUUUUUUAUUUGACAUAAAUAAUUUAUUUAAUAUUUGAAUGACAAAACUGAUUUUUUUCUAAACAAAUAAUAUAUCAUAUUUACACCAUUACUAAUUACAUAAUUUUUUAUUUUACAAUAACUGAAAACACAUAACUUGGUGUUUAUGUAUCUUAGAUGAAACAAUAUAUUAUUGUUAUGAACAAAGUUAUUAAUGAGAAAGGUUUUUCAUUGAAUUUAACCAUGAGGCUUCAAUAAUGCUUACGAUAUUACUGACAUUGCGAUCAUGUUUUAUCUUGGAAAACGGUGGUUUAUAGCACUAUUAUUAUUAUUAAAUUAUUCUCACGUAAAAUAUGUCAUUUUGAAAACAAUAAAUAAUAUAAUGGCUACCUAGGCGUUAGUUCAUAUUAGAUACAUAAUUUUUUUUUCUCUUAUGAUAGUCCUUACAAUAUUUUGAUUAUCAUAUAUAUUUCCUACGUAUAUCUAUGUUUGGAAAAUAAUAAUAAAAAUAUUUUUCUUUAUUUAUUUCACCAUAAAAAUACUUUUUGGUAAAUUAGAACUGUUAAGUAAAUUAGUACCUACAAUAACAUUUCACUUCAAUCAUUAUAUGUCCGACUUUCAUAAUAUAUAUAGAUGAAUCCAUUAAGAAUCGAAGACUCUAUUUUUCCAUCUAAAAUAAAUUAGAAAAAAAAAAUAUAGUAGCUACUCUUUGCUAAUUUAAUUUGGCUGCAUCUUUAGCUUUUAAAGUUACCCAUAUAUAUAUACAUAUGGCUGUACUUUUAGGUGGUGAUAUAUCCUAUCAAAAAAUAAAAUGAAAAUUUUGGAACUUUUUAACAUAAAUUUAUUAAAGUAAAAGGAUAAUAAAAGUAACCAAUAACUAUAUUUUCAGAUUCUUCGGAUUAUCAUGCGAAACAUUUUCAGGUACAUAUAUACAUGUUCACAUAUAAGGAUAUCGAUAAGAAAUUAGUAAAUGCUAAAAUUGGUAGCUAAUCUAUUGGUAGUUUAUUUUAUCCACAUAUUUAAUCGUUCAACGUUACAUAUAUAUAUAUGGUUGUCGUUAAUAGGUAUUUUUAGGUGCUGACUUAUUGUAUCAAAAACGAAAAUGAAUAUUUUAAAUAAAAUUUAACAAAAAUAUUUUAGGAUAUAAAGAAAAUAAAACUAACCAAUCAAUUGAAAACAGUUUUUCUGGAUAAUUCUAAAAAUAGUCAUCAAAGACCUAUAUAUAUGUAUAUGUUCAUACGUAAGGUUUCCUAAAAUACACACACAAAGCAUUUUUUUACUGUGAAAGUUUACAAUGUCGGCAUCGAAAUUUGCUAUAUUUUGUAUUGUUCUCAUUUGUCUUGCUAGUCUUCAUGAAUGUAUGUCUAUAUAGCAUAUGUUCCAUCCAAUCCUCUAGCAUCAUUACCAUUAAAUUAAUAUUAAUAUACUCCAUCAUCUUUUAAUUUUGUUUUAUUCUUUAAACUUUCUGCAGGUGCCAACCCGGAAAAAAAGCCCAAAGGAACAUGCUCUAAAACACCAAAGAAUGUUUGGUGUUGCAGUUCCACUACACACUGCCGAAGCACCAAGGCAGAUUGUGAGAAGAUAUGUAUCUGGUAGUAUCUGGGGCCGUUGAAUUUUAUCAAAGAGAAUUUCAAUAAUUAUAUAUUCCACUUAUUUUCAUAAUUCUAUUAUUCAAAAUUUAAAUAAUAAAUAGAAAUUCCUAUUCCACAGGAGCAGCUAGUAUUAUGUACUAAAUGUUUUGGAAUUUCUUUGAAAGAUCAAUAUAUAUAUAUAGUUGUCUUUCUAACUUUCUUCAAUUGUAUUUGAGAAGUUUAUAAAUUUUAUAGAAAAUGAGAAUAAAACCAUUGUACCUGUUUAACUGAAAUUUAAAUGUUGUAUGUACUUUGUAAAUUAAAUAAAAU